CGCAGGGUCCGGUGCGCUCGGUCGAUAACCACCGGUGACUGAAACCCGUCGUUGCUGAAAAGCUUCAGAAUCAAUGCCUCUACGAAUUCUGUUGGUUUGCCCCCUUCUUUCUGCUCAGAAUUGAGCGAUGUCAGUCCUGCGAGAACUAUUCUGCUGCAUCCAUGCCGAAGGAGAAUGUUAUCGAGCUGCACCUCGAUUGAGUGCAUUGAGCCGAUGACUUCAUGUACCGAGGCGCGAGUCCUGGUUAUCAACAGCGGAGGAACCAUCGGGAUGACUCUUCAUGAGAAAAGACCUGCUCCAGCGCCGCAAGCCCUCCAGUAACCUCUGCUCCUCUGAAUCAAACCUCUUCUCCCCACCACUCAGGACCAAGCACCGUACCUGGAGUGACAGAGCUUUCACCGUUGCAGCCCCCUCCCUCUGGAACUUUUAGCAUUUGCUAAAGUGCUGUACUGCAGUACUAUUUUGAAGUACUUCUCCUUCCAUUU
Perca fluviatilis (European perch) is the source of this 485-nucleotide long non-coding RNA. RefSeq lists it as uncharacterized. The transcript is spliced from 3 exons. The record is from RefSeq and is a predicted model, not a curated record. Lineage: Eukaryota; Metazoa; Chordata; Actinopteri; Perciformes; Percidae.